This 370-nucleotide ribosomal RNA is filed under the name Acanthamoeba sp. RNAcentral describes it as "SSU rRNA". It matches the Rfam family "Eukaryotic small subunit ribosomal RNA", at positions 766 to 1098 of the family's 1831-position model. The record is from RNAcentral. Lineage: Eukaryota; Discosea; Longamoebia; Acanthamoebidae.
CCGUGAAAAAAUUAGAGUGUUCAAAGCAGGCAGAUCCAAUUUUUUUCCACCGAAUACAUUAGCAUGGGAUAAUGGAAUAGGACCCUGUCCUCCUAUUUUCAGUUGGUUUUGGCAGCGCGAGGACUAGGGUAAUGAUUAAUAGGGAUAGUUGGGGGCAUUAAUAUUUAAUUGUCAGAGGUGAAAUUCUUGGAUUUAUGAAAGAUUAACUUCUGCGAAAGCAUCUKCCAAGGAUGUUUUCAUUAAUCAAGAACGAAAGUUAGGGGAUSGAAGACGAUCAGAUACCGUCGUAGUMUUAACCAUAAACGAUGCCGACCAGCGAUUAGGAGACGUUGAAUACAAAACACCACCAUCGGCGCGGUCGUCCUGGCGU